Molecule: long non-coding RNA, 982 nt
Filed under: Dromaius novaehollandiae (emu)
Lineage: Eukaryota; Metazoa; Chordata; Aves; Casuariiformes; Dromaiidae
Description: lncRNA (ENSDNVG00000010856.1)
Source: RNAcentral
UCCUCGCUGGCUGUGUGUUUACAGAAUAAUCCUAGGAUCUAAGCUCUGCUCCAGAGACUGACUGGCAGAAGCCUUUACUACCACUGAGCUAAAAUACUUCUAAAUGUUCUGCCGCUUUCUCCUUGGGCCCCGUAGUCCUGGUGACAGACUGCCCAGGGUGCACAGAUUGGAGCCUUUUAGGAACGUGCUCCUUGGGAAAAGGUUUCACUGACCUGCCACCAGCCUCUGAUGUGUGCAUGGUGGUGAGCUAAUGGGUUAGAUUAGGAAGCUGUUAAUGAAGCCAAACUCGGAUCUGGAGGAUUUCACAUGUGAACUGGAAGAUGAACUCUCAAGGAAGCAUCCAAAUCCUUUCUCCAGAGUAAAGGGUGCCCUGAGGGCUCUUAUGAACUGACAUCUCUUUUGCCCUGUAGCCCUGGCUUUCUUCUGUGUCCUUACUGCCUCUGCAGUGCCCAUUGCCUCUGAGGAUGGAUGGCAACUUCUGCAGCCCUAACCUGAACAUAGRGCCUGAUCCAAAACCCGGAGGAGUCAGUGGAAAGCUGGGCUUGAGCACAGCACAAACCAACACACGUUUAUUAUGCUCCCCUCCUGCCUGUCGGUCCUCUCCCCACACAGCACCUAAAUAUGCAAGAAUUCUGGUUUCCAACCACUGGCUGAACGAAGAUGCAGCCACGAGACAGAGGAGAGACGGGAAGAUACGCUCACACCCCUCCCUGAGCUGAAAUGGCUGAAUGGUUUCAGUUGAAAUUUAAACCAAAAAAGCAAACAAAACCCCAAAGCAAACCAGACCAUGGCAGACCCUUGACGUGGAAAGUUUCAACCCAAGCGAUGAAAGCCUGGCAAAGAUCUCAGCAAGCCUUAACAGCAGGCAGACCUACAACCCUGCAGCAUCCACGGCAAUACCUGGGGUUUACUCAAGACGGCUGCAGUGACCUCAUGCUAUUUUGCAACUAAAGAAAGUGAUGUGAGACAGUGAUAUUAAAGG